CAAUAUGGCUGGCGUUGAUGCAAUUAAUUCUUGUGGAGUCUGAGAGUACACAGCUCCGCCUGUGUAGGAUAUCUGAGCAGAAACGAUUACAGACUAGGAGGAUCCGUCCAAAGGUUUCGAGACUCGCAGCGAUUGAGAAGAUAGGGAGGACCUGAGCGAAAUCAAACCCAGAGGGCCUCGAUAAAUUGACGUCGUCUCGCGAUCUGAGAUCUCCGCCACACAUAUCCUCGAUCCCUCCGCCGUCACUCCUUUCGCGUCCUCUUCCUUACACCCAUCCAUAUCAAGAACCCCUCCGAGCCCUAAUCCCCCUACUGAUCUGAUAUUGGGCUUUUCUUCUCCGCUUUUUGCUGCUGCUGCCUACGAGAAUACAAUCCUUAUAAAGGAGCUCGGAGCUGGUCAUUGGGACCUCGAAUAGGAGUGAGGAAGGGGAGGAAGAAGAGCCGGUGAGCGCGAUGGAUGAAGAAUUACGGACUCCGGCUUCGAUUUUCGCUGGUGCAGAAGACCUCGAAGCCAGCUCCUCCUCGCCCUUCCCUUCCUGCCUUCGCUUUCGGCGGCGGCGACGACGAGGAUGACAUCGAGAGGGAAAUCUCACGACAGGCGUCCAAGAACAAGUCUCUCCGGAAGGUUUUUUAAAAUGGUUUCCUUAUUCCUGGUAUUGAUGAGUAAAUUAACUUACGGGUUGAUUGAUUGAUGGUGGAAUUUGGUCGAUCGAGGAGCAACACAAAAAGGCAAUGGAAGAGGAUCCCUCGGUCUUCGACUACGACGGGGUUUACGACGAGAUGAAAGGGAAGAUUGCGCGCCCCAAGGUUCAGAAUCGAACGGAGAGAAAGGGACAAUGGGAGGCUUCGGGGAGGCUGACCUUUGCGGACGGACGCGCGAGGGUGCCGCACGCCUUAGGCAAAACCAGCUAAGGUCGUGACAUUAUGGUAUCAGAGCGGGACAAGCACUCAUAGAAACACUUGACAUGCAAACGUGGGGGACCUAGCGGGGCUGCGUUGAGGGCAGUCAGCACACGCGCGACCGUUUGAGGGAAAACGGGCAUGGAGAUGUAGGGAAAAGAGUCGCUCAGAGGAGCGGGCAUCUAACAUUGGCAUUUUGAGGAAUGGCCAACCCUUCGCGCAAGAGGCACCACGAGAACAGGCAAGCUUGGAAGAAUGCGGAGCGCACAAAGGUUGGGAUGGCUGAGUUUGAGCUACGGCUCAACGUUGACAACUAUACUUGAUGGUGCUCUAGGCAAGCGAGGCGCUUGGCAAGAAUGAGACCAUCCAAGGUGGAAUGAGUUGUUCAACGACCAAAAGAGUUAUGCAAAGCUCACAGAGGUGAGGGGAAUUGCUAACUCGAAGAAUUUGGUACUCAUGCAUGGGCUUGUAUGCGGACGAUGGAAUGUUCGUGGCCAUCCCAAGGCGACCCAGACUCGGCGCCAUGGAGCAUUGAAACUUUCUCUUCGGCAUGCAAAGGAUACGUCCGGAGGAGGCUGAAGUGUGCAACGAGUUUAGCAUGUUGCUAGGCCUUGAGGGGUGCGGCGGUGGCUGUAUUGACGUGGAGGCGCAAUCUAGCAAGUGCGUUUGCAGGAGGCAAGACAUUGCACAGUUUGUUCAGCAGAUCGGAGUAGUCCAAGGGGAUGGUGGUCUCCGAAACGAAGAGAGAUGUUGCUCCAACGGGACAGUUAUCUAGGAGGGAUAAGUCUCGGCACUCCAGAGGGAGAAUCAUGUGAGACGGACUUCACAUGUUGAGGAGGAGUACCUCACAAACAACAACUUCACGAAGCUCGAUGGACUGAGCAAGCGGCGAGGAGUUGUCGCAUGAUCUCGCUCGAGAGAAUGCAUUGGUGGAUGCAUUGCGAGAUCAAGUGGGGGAGCGACCUGAAGCAACUUAAAUGAAGGCACACUUAGAGUCGAUAUGGAGAUCGGACUCAAGGGAGGGCUGACCCGUGGAAUGGAGGGCGCGAGGGCCACCAUCGACUCAAUGCAAAAACGAGGAGCGGAGCAACUUGGGUGUAACUUGGCGAAGUACCCAAGCCGCAUGAAGGGAGCCAGCAGAGAAGUUGGAACAUGGAGCAGAAGCACAGUGCUUUCCUUAGACAGAGGUCAAAGACAUGAACUCUUGCAGAGGCAAGGGUAGGAUCAUGUUGUUCCAUGGGUCCUUCAUUCUGACGGAGCGGACUCAUCUUGCAUGGUGCCAAAGAUGAAGGGAGCUUCUGGGCACAUGCACCUUAUCUCGGAGGAGCAUUUGAUGGAGGAACUAAGGCGACUCAAUUUGCGGAGGCGAAGUUGGGUUCAGAAGGUCUUAGCACGGGGCAAGAGGACGCAGAGGCGGGUACUCUUGAAGAAUAUGCCACAGUGUUGCCAUUCAAGUUGCCAUGAAGGAAGCAGUGCGCAGCGGAGAUUGUGCUGGUAGGGGCAGAGGCCCAGGAUCCAGACAAUGGUGCAUAAACUACAGUGAAGUCGGUGGACUUCGGGAGCUACUAGGCGACGGACUGCUCUAGAGUGGUGCUUCAUCUAGGUGUGACCCAAGAGUGGGUGGAUGAAGGUCGAUUGCCAAAGGAGUGAACAAAAUCGAAGGUGGAGGAGACCCUGCGAUGUAUUGGCAGAGGCCACACAUGGAGGGUUCACAAUUCGAGUUUAGUCCACAAAGAUCAGAAUGCAAUGGAGAUGUCACCAGGAGGCGACAUGGUGCAGCGGAUCAUGGUGGAACAGUUCGUGGCAAUGCGACACACACGACAGCGUCCCGUGAGGGAUGAGAUCAUAUGGAGGUAUGAUCGGGAGUUACUGGAAGCUCCACUUCGAUGAACAACACGACGGCAAGAAGGGCUAUGGAUUCAAGGAGUGAAGGCCAUGGUACCGCAGAGGCGGGUCUUUCGGGCGUGCAUCGAAUUUUGCAUCGGAUGAAAGCCUUGGUCAUCAGCAUAUGGGGGCUGUGUUCCACCAAGGGAAAAGUUCGAAUGCAAGUACCAGUGAGUUCCAUGGGAGGGACUUGAUCAUACAGAGGUAUGAUCGAAGCAGCUGGAGAGUUGGAUUGCUUCAGAGCUCAUAUUCGCUUAAGGGAGCCCGACAAGUCAGAGGACAAGGUCGAGUAAGCGAACGUUGCUACCAAGGAAGCUAAGGAGAACAGAAUCGGUGCAAACUCUACAACGUGAUGGCAGAGGCCAUGCAUGGGAGUUGCAGUCUAUCUUUCCAUCGACCAAACGGACUACUUGGAGAACAUAGUGGUGUUGAAGCAGGGGGUCGAAAAGGGGCGAGGAAGCGACGACGAGUCCAGAGGGACUUAGCUACCCAAAAUCAAGCAUCAGUUAGAAUGGAGGUGGACUCAGAGGAGUGCCACGGAGACAUCUCUACUGAUUGUGAAGAAAAGGGAUACAGAGGCGAGGCGACGGAUAAUAGGGCCAUGGGCAUGGCAGCGCCAUAGUACCGCAGAGGCGGGACUUCCGUGCAAGUCAUUGAUCCCUUGCUCUCAUGGAGGGAGAGCGCUUGGUCGUGAAAGGGGCCGAGGAGGUGGAGCAUGCAGAGGCAAUCUCCAUACCGAGACAAGGCUGAAGGGCAGAGGCCAAGAAACUUCGUAAGACCGGUGUCAACAAGUUUCUCAUCAAGAUAGCCGUAAGUGAAGGACUUCGGGUCAUGCAAGAGUGCAUGACCAAGGAACGAAGCAGACAGUACGCGGUGCUGUACCUUUGCUACUCAGUGGAGUAGGCGGCAGGGUUGAUGGAGAAGACGGUACAAUCCCAGAGGCGACCUCAUCUAUCAGAGAAUUACUCCAAGUUGGGGUGAAAACUUCCCGCAUUCCAGAAGUUCGAUGGCAUUGAGAAGGUGAAUCACAGUAGCUAACUCAACGCAAGGAGUGCAAACACUUCAAGUGCUUCAGAAGUGUGAGCAAAGAGCAGGCG
Molecule: long non-coding RNA, 3880 nt
Organism: Musa acuminata AAA Group (dessert banana)
Lineage: Eukaryota; Viridiplantae; Streptophyta; Magnoliopsida; Zingiberales; Musaceae
Exons: 3
Source: RefSeq, a predicted model, not a curated record